CAGGUCACUCAGCAUAUCCUGAAUCACCUUUAGGACCGGAUGCAUAUCAUGAAUAUGAAUCUUUGCUUGUCCAAGAUUAUGAGGAGCUUGCCAGAAAGUUUCUGAUGAACUCUAGCCAUACCGGAGAAAGCAUAGUAAAGGAAAGUAUGUCCGCUGAAGAUGAAGGAUGGUCACAAUUAACCACCAGCGAAGAGGGGCCUUUUAAUUUCAGUUCUGUUGCAAGUGCACAAAAUUCAUAUGAAGACAGUGUAAUUGACCGGACAGAUGUACGGAAAAAGUUGAAAGUUUCUGUGCAUCAUUUCCCUCUGGUCUUGUGUCCUUUUUCACCUAGAUUCUUUGUCUUGCCUUCAGAAGGAUCAGUUGCCGAAGCGUACCUAUCCGCUGAACAUGAUAACUCUAUAAGCUUUGGGUUACCUUCAAUAAGUACUGGGACAACUGCUGAUGGUGAGGAUGUCCCUCCUGGGGCAACUCUUACCGCUCAAUUUCUUUAUCAUCUGGCGGCAAAGAUGGACCUGAAACUUGAG
Molecule: unclassified non-coding RNA, 524 nt
Filed under: Hevea brasiliensis (rubber tree)
Lineage: Eukaryota; Viridiplantae; Streptophyta; Magnoliopsida; Malpighiales; Euphorbiaceae
Source: RNAcentral